AUGAAGGACGUUACUAACGACGAUAUGCUUUGGGGAGCUGUAAGUAAGCUUUGAUCCAGAGAUUUCCGAAUGGGGAAACCCAGCAUGAGUUAUGUCAUGUUAUCGAUAUGUGAAUACAUAGCAUAUCAGAAGGCACACCCGGAGAACUGAAACAUCUUAGUACCCGGAGGAAGAGAAAGAAAAUUCGAUUCCCUUAGUAGCGGCGAGCGAAAYRGGAAGAGCCCAAACCAACAAGCUUGCUUGUUGGGGUUGUAGGACACUCUAUACGGAGUUAYAAAGGACGACAUUAGACGAAUCAUCUGGAAAGAUGAAUCAAAGAAGGUAAUAAUCCUGUAGUCGAAAAUGUUGUCUCUCUUGAGUGGAUCCUGAGUACGACGGAGCACGUGAAAUUCCGUCGGAAUCUGGGAGGACCAUCUCCUAAGGCUAAAUACUCUCUAGUGACCGAUAGUGAACCAGUACCGUGAGGGAAAGGUGAAAAGCACCCCGGAAGGGGAGUGAAAUAGAACCUGAAACCGUGUGCUUACAAGUAGUCAGAGCCCGUUAAUGGGUGAUGGCGUGCCUUUUGUAGAAUGAACCGGCGAGUUACGAUUUGAUGCAAGGUUAAGCAGUAAAUGUGGAGCCGUAGCGAAAGCGAGUCUGAAUAGGGCGUUUAGUAUUUGGUCGUAGACCCGAAACCAGGUGAUCUACCCUUGGUCAGGUUGAAGUUCAGGUAACACUGAAUGGAGGACCGAACCGACUUACGUUGAAAAGUGAGCGGAUGAACUGAGGGUAGCGGAGAAAUUCCAAUCGAACCUGGAGAUAGCUGGUUCUCUCCGAAAUAGCUUUAGGGCUAGCCUCAAGUGAUGAUUAUUGGAGGUAGAGCACUGUUUGGACGAGGGGCCCCUCUCGGGUUACCGAAUUCAGACAAACUCCGAAUGCCAAUUAAUUUAACUUGGGAGUCAGAACAUGGGUGAUAAGGUCCGUGUUCGAAAGGGAAACAGCCCAGACCACCAGCUAAGGUCCCAAAAUAUAUGUUAAGUGGAAAAGGAUGUGGCGUUGCCCAGACAACUAGGAUGUUGGCUUAGAAGCAGCCAUCAUUUAAAGAGUGCGUAAUAGCUCACUAGUCGAGUGACACUGCGCCGAAAAUGUACCGGGGCUAAACAUAUUACCGAAGCUGUGGAUUGUCCUUUGGACAAUGGUAGGAGAGCGUUCUAAGGGCGUUGAAGCAUGAUCGUAAGGACAUGUGGAGCGCUUAGAAGUGAGAAUGCCGGUGUGAGUAGCGAAAGACGGGUGAGAAUCCCGUCCACCGAUUGACUAAGGUUUCCAGAGGAAGGCUCGUCCGCUCUGGGUUAGUCGGGUCCUAAGCUGAGGCCGACAGGCGUAGGCGAUGGAUAACAGGUUGAUAUUCCUGUACCACCUAUAAUCGUUUUAAUCGAUGGGGGGACGCAGUAGGAUAGGCGAAGCGUGCGAUUGGAUUGCACGUCUAAGCAGUAAGGCUGAGUAUUAGGCAAAUCCGGUACUCGUUAAGGCUGAGCUGUGAUGGGGAGAAGACAUUGUGUCUUCGAGUCGUUGAUUUCACACUGCCGAGAAAAGCCUCUAGAUAGAAAAUAGGUGCCCGUACCGCAAACCGACACAGGUAGUCAAGAUGAGAAUUCUAAGGUGAGCGAGCGAACUCUCGUUAAGGAACUCGGCAAAAUGACCCCGUAACUUCGGGAGAAGGGGUGCUCUUUAGGGUUAACGCCCAGAAGAGCCGCAGUGAAUAGGCCCAAGCGACUGUUUAUCAAAAACACAGGUCUCUGCUAAACCGUAAGGUGAUGUAUAGGGGCUGACGCCUGCCCGGUGCUGGAAGGUUAAGAGGAGUGGUUAGCUUCUGCGAAGCUACGAAUCGAAGCCCCAGUAAACGGCGGCCGUAACUAUAACGGUCCUAAGGUAGCGAAAUUCCUUGUCGGGUAAGUUCCGACCCGCACGAAAGGCGUAACGAUUUGGGCACUGUCUCAACGAGAGACUCGGUGAAAUCAUAGUACCUGUGAAGAUGCAGGUUACCCGCGACAGGACGGAAAGACCCCGUGGAGCUUUACUGUAGCCUGAUAUUGAAAUUCGGCACAGCUUGUACAGGAUAGGUAGGAGCCUUUGAAACGUGAGCGCUAGCUUACGUGGAGGCGCUGGUGGGAUACUACCCUAGCUGUGUUGGCUUUCUAACCCGCACCACUUAUCGUGGUGGGAGACAGUGUCAGGCGGGCAGUUUGACUGGGGCGGUCGCCUCCUAAAAGGUAACGGAGGCGCUCAAAGGUUCCCUCAGAAUGGUUGGAAAUCAUUCAUAGAGUGUAAAGGCAUAAGGGAGCUUGACUGCGAGACCUACAAGUCGAGCAGGGUCGAAAGACGGACUUAGUGAUCCGGUGGUUCCGCAUGGAAGGGCCAUCGCUCAACGGAUAAAAGCUACCCCGGGGAUAACAGGCUUAUCUCCCCCAAGAGUUCACAUCGACGGGGAGGUUUGGCACCUCGAUGUCGGCUCAUCGCAUCCUGGGGCUGUAGUCGGUCCCAAGGGUUGGGCUGUUCGCCCAUUAAAGCGGUACGCGAGCUGGGUUCAGAACGUCGUGAGACAGUUCGGUCCCUAUCCGUCGUGGGCGUAGGAAAUUUGAGAGGAGCUGUCCUUAGUACGAGAGGACCGGGAUGGACAUACCUCUGGUGUACCAGUUGUCGUGCCAACGGCAUAGCUGGGUAGCUAUGUGUGGACGGGAUAAGUGCUGAAAGCAUCUAAGCAUGAAGCCCCCCUCAAGAUGAGAUUUCCCAACUUCGGUUAU
RNAcentral lists this ribosomal RNA (2780 nucleotides) under Staphylococcus aureus. RNAcentral describes it as "bacterial LSU rRNA". The record is from RNAcentral. Lineage: Bacteria; Bacillati; Bacillota; Bacilli; Caryophanales; Staphylococcaceae.